This is a non-coding RNA of Cinara cedri, 212 nucleotides long. The record is from the annotation of a GenBank genome assembly. NCBI's taxonomy places the organism in Eukaryota, Metazoa, Arthropoda, Insecta, Hemiptera, Aphididae.
UGACGGACGUGACGCGAACUGAAAAAUUAUUAAAAAAAUUAAUUCGCACGCGUGUAACGUACACGGGUAUAGGCACGUAUCGAUCAUUUCGAGGGCGGCCGAACAGGUGUCUUCACGGGUUAUGCGGUCGACGGACGGCGACAAACGACGCGGACGGCCUGUCGCUUAUGAUAACGCCGAUAAUAUCGUCGUAAAUAUUAGCGCUGUACGAU